Molecule: ribosomal RNA, 460 nt
Filed under: uncultured bacterium
Lineage: Bacteria
Description: partial 16S ribosomal RNA
Rfam family: Bacterial small subunit ribosomal RNA
Source: RNAcentral
CCUACGGGAGGCAGCAGUGAGGAAUAUUGGUCAAUGGACGAGAGUCUGAACCAGCCAAGUAGCGUGAAGGAUGACUGCCCUAUGGGUUGUAAACUUCUUUUAUAUGGGAAUAAAAUGUUCCACGUGUGGGAUUUUGUAUGUACCAUAUGAAUAAGGAUCGGCUAACUCCGUGCCAGCAGCCGCGGUAAUACGGAGGAUCCGAGCGUUAUCCGGAUUUAUUGGGUUUAAAGGGAGCGUAGGUGGAUUGUUAAGUCAGUUGUGAAAGUUUGCGGCUCAACCGUAAAAUUGCAGUUGAAACUGGCAGUCUUGAGUGCAGUAGAGGUAGGCGGAAUUCGUGGUGUAGCGGUGAAAUGCUUAGAUAUCACGAAGAACUCCGAUGGCGAAGGCAGUUCACUGGACUGCAACUGACACUGAGGCUCGAAAGUGUGGGUAUCAAACAGGAUUAGAUACCCCUGUAGUC